Molecule: ribosomal RNA, 440 nt
Filed under: uncultured bacterium
Lineage: Bacteria
Description: partial 16S ribosomal RNA
Rfam family: Bacterial small subunit ribosomal RNA
Source: RNAcentral
CCUACGGGUGACAGCAGUGGGGAAUAUUGCACAAUGGGGGAAACCCUGAUGCAGCGACGCCGCGUGAGUGAAGAAGGAUUUCGGUGUGUAAAGCUCUUUCUGCAGGGAAGAGAAUGACUGUACGUGCGUAAGAAGCCCCGGCUAACUACGUGCCAGCAGCCGCGGUAAUACGUAGGGGGCAAGCGUUAUCCGGAUUUACUGGGUGUAAAGGGGGCGUAGACGGCGAAGAAAGUCUGAAGUGAAAGCCUGCGGCUCAACCGCGGAACUGCUUUGGAAACUUUUUUGCUGGAGUACCGGAGAGGUAAGCGGAAUUCCUAGUGUAGCGGUGAAAUGCGUAGAUAUUAGGAGGAACACCAGUGGCGAAGGCGGCUUACUGGACGGUAACUGACGUUGAGGCUCGAAAGCGUGGGGAGCAAACAGGAUUAGAUACCCUUGUAGUC